CAGACUGCCUGCAGAAAAUUCGAGACAUGAUCGCUGAGGCCAGCAAGACACCCAAGGAGCCAACAAAAGAAGAUGUUAAACUUCAGAGAAUCAGGAUAGAAAACAUGAAUCGGGAAAGGCUGAGACAAAAGAGAAUUCAUUCUGCUGUAAAGACAAGCAGGAGAGUUGACAUGGACUGAAAUCACCCUCUGCAGCUGGGAGGGCUCGUCUGGGUGUCAGGGCAGCUGCAGCUGAGAGGCCUUUCACACCAUAAGGAGAUUUCCUUUUUUCUUUUUGGCUGUUAAUGCUUGUCUAUAACAUUGGAGCCAUCACAAGAACGUUCAUUUGGAAUGAAGGUUACAGGCACUGGUUGCAAAAGUCUUUAUAGGCAGUCACCAUAUUGUCAAACCUUAAUAAUGCAUCUAAUGUGUUAGCCACAAUAAAAUUCAAAACUCA
Long non-coding RNA from Mandrillus leucophaeus (drill), 435 nucleotides. RefSeq lists it as uncharacterized. The transcript has 2 exons. The record is from RefSeq and is a predicted model, not a curated record. NCBI's taxonomy places the organism in Eukaryota, Metazoa, Chordata, Mammalia, Primates, Cercopithecidae.